RNAcentral lists this ribosomal RNA (429 nucleotides) under Pseudomonadota bacterium. RNAcentral's name for it is "Proteobacteria bacterium partial 16S ribosomal RNA". It matches the Rfam family "Bacterial small subunit ribosomal RNA", at positions 355 to 776 of the family's 1533-position model. The record is from RNAcentral. Lineage: Bacteria; Pseudomonadati; Pseudomonadota.
UGGGUAAUAUUGGACAAUGGGCGAAAGCCUGAUCCAGCCAUGCCGCGUGUGUGAAGAAGGUCUUCGGAUUGUAAAGCACUUUAAGUUGGGAGGAAGGGCAGUAAGCGAAUACCUUGCUGUUUUGACGUUACCGACAGAAUAAGCACCGGCUAACUCUGUGCCAGCAGCCGCGGUAAUACAGAGGGUGCAAGCGUUAAUCGGAAUUACUGGGCGUAAAGCGCGCGUAGGUGGUUCGUUAAGUUGAAUGUGAAAGCCCCGGGCUCAACCUGGGAACUGCAUCCACAGCUGGCGAGCUAGAGUAGGGCAGAGGGUGGUGGAAUUUCCUGUGUAGCGGUGAAAUGCGUAGAUAUAGGAAGGAACACCAGUGGCGAAGGCGACCACCUGGGCUCAUACUGACACUAAGGUGCGAAAGCGUGGGGAGCAAACAGG